UGGGGAAUAUUGGACAAUGGGCGAAAGCCUGAUCCAGCCAUGCCGCGUGUGUGAAGAAGGUCUUCGGAUUGUAAAGCACUUUAAGUUGGGAGGAAGGGCAGUAAGCGAAUACCUUGCUGUUUUGACGUUACUCGCAGAAUAAGCACCGGCUAACUCUGUGCCAGCAGCCGCGGUAAUACAGAGGGUGCGAGCGUUAAUCGGAUUUACUGGGCGUAAAGCGUGCGUAGGCGGCUAAUUGAGUCGGAUGUGAAAUCCCCGAGCUUAACUUGGGAAUUGCAUUCGAUACUGAUUAGCUAGAGUGUGGGAGAGGAUGGUAGAAUUCCAGGUGUAGCGGUGAAAUGCGUAGAGAUCUGGAGGAAUACCGAUGGCGAAGGCAGCCAUCUGGCCUAACACUGACGCUGAGGUACGAAAGCAUGGGGAGCAAACAGG
This 429-nucleotide ribosomal RNA is filed under the name Pseudomonadota bacterium. Its description in RNAcentral is "Proteobacteria bacterium partial 16S ribosomal RNA". It matches the Rfam family "Bacterial small subunit ribosomal RNA", at positions 355 to 776 of the family's 1533-position model. Lineage: Bacteria; Pseudomonadati; Pseudomonadota. The record is from RNAcentral.